Helianthus annuus (common sunflower) is the source of this 862-nucleotide long non-coding RNA. RefSeq lists it as uncharacterized. The record is from RefSeq and is a predicted model, not a curated record. The transcript has 5 exons. NCBI's taxonomy places the organism in Eukaryota, Viridiplantae, Streptophyta, Magnoliopsida, Asterales, Asteraceae.
UGCAACACAGUCUGGGAGCAAGAUAGAGUGUGAGAAACGGAGAGACAGGGUGCGGCCAACCACCACCUCCGGUGGCGGAGCCAUGACGGAUCUGUCGGCGUCUUCUCAGCAUCGGGGAGUGUUGUACCCCUACCUACAGAGCAGAAGACAAGGAAUCCGGUGAGGCGGUGCGAGCUAGGGUUCUGACGAGACUCCGGUUAACUCCUGCAUGAAUUCCGGCCUCCGGUUAAGCUCCGACGACUUCUCCGAUUACCGAUCUGGGUCUGCAUGUUGUUAAAUCUUAAUUCUUAAAGAUCAGUGGAUGACCCGUAUCCGGAAGUCAGCGUGGGUACAAAGGACGGAUGGCAACAGUGGUUGCUGGAACUUAUCUUGAUUCAAGAACUGAUAUGGGUGUUUGUUUGAUAGAUCUUAGUCAGUUAAUCAAUUGGCUGAAAGCUUAAGUUUUUUCAAGAAAAUUGAUCAAGAUGGUGAGAGGGAAGACUCAAAUGAGGAGAAUGCUAAAGUUGCUUUGAUCAUCUUCUCUCCAAGAGGGCUUUAGCCUCGUCUCUUUAGAUCAAGUGCAAGAGAGCUUCUUUAGAUUCAUGUGCAAGAGUGACAAAAAUAAAAUAAACUAGCAAAAACGCAGGAGUUUUAAGGGUCGUACUGCUCAUCAUUUUACUUGCAGCACUUUUAUAUUAUGUCAAAAGUGAGGGUUUGCUUCUGUACAACAUGCAUAAAUUUUGCCUCUCAAAUCUCAUGACUACAAUUGUAUAACCAGUCUAUUAGAGUUUGUUAGGAAUAUUAUAAAUGACAUAAACAAAUUUGUAUUUAUUGGUUUCAAGUAUGUAGCUAAAUAGAAAUAUGAAAUAUAGUUGGUUCGGAA